CCCAGGAGUGCGCCAUCAGUGGUCCUUACCUGUCCUCAGUCUGUGCCACUGCGACGCCUCAGAGGCCAGGGCUUGGGACAGGCUGAGGACCCGCUCCCUGUGGCCUUCGGAUGUAGGCAAGUAGUGGCUAGUGUUCCUGGGACUGAAAAAGGUAGAUUGGAAAUCAAAUGAGAGAAAAAAGAAAAGUUCCUCACCUGCUCCAGGACCCCGAGCUUCUGGGCCAUUUUGGAGCUCCUAGGACAGCCUGGAAAAGAAGUGGGCCAUUGGAGCCCUGACCUAGAAACCUCACCUUCUCAUUUUGAAGAAGGGCGCUCAGAGAGGACAUUGUGCGCGCAUGGAUACACACCUAUGACUUAUCUAAUUCCUUCCUCUAAGAGUCUUAAGCAGAGCAGCUGAAAAGAAAAACUAGGCUCUCAUCUAGGUCUGUGACCCCCGCCCUGAAGGAAAUCACCUGUGUUUUCUCCUCACGGCUCUGCCCACCCAGCAGUAGGAGAGCCAGGAAGCUGACAAGCACAAGUUGGGGUGAUCUGGAAACUCAGCUCAGGGCAAGGAGGUAGGGAGUGUCCUCAUUUUCCAGAGGGAAACUGAGGCACUAGGAGUAAGGACCCUCCACUGUCCCCCAUCCACCCCCAGCCCUCCCGCCCUCACCCUUUGCUCCGUGUCAGGCUGGCAUCUGGCUGGGGACAAUGUCCUCCCCAGGGUGAGGAGCCGGGGGGAGGCGGGGCGCAGGAGGGGCCGUCCACUGUCCUGGUUCCUGCGAAUGCGCUCCAGCUGCUCCUGGGCACUCAUUCUGGGCCGGGUGGAGGGGGCCUGGGGAGAUCAGAAGUCCCGAAACACCCCAAAGAGCAGAGGCACCUCUUCAUCUCCUCUUCCUGACCCUCCCCACCUGCAGUCUGGCCCUUCCCAGUCAGUUCACCACAGUGAUUCAGAGUUUUGUUUUUAUUUUUGUUUUGGUACUGGGGAUCCAACUCAGGACCUUGCACUUGCGAGGCAGGCCAGCACAGUGCCACUGAGCUAAAUCCCCGGGCCCCCAGGGUUUUGUUUUUGUCAUGUGGUACUGGGGACUGAACCCAGAGCCUUCGCACUGUGCUACAUCCUCAGGCCUUUUUUAUAUUUUGAGACAGGGUCUCAAUAAAUCACCCAGGCUGGCCUGGAACUUGUGAUCCUUCUGCCUCCACCUCCUAGAGCCUGGGAUUACAGGGAGCACUGUGGUGCAGCUCUUGCCUUGCAGGUGAAAAGCCCAGGUGAUGAAGAAUGAAUAAAGCACUCACUAAAUCCGGGUACUAUUUGCAACCACUGGAGGUCCUGGACUCUCUUAAUCGUCUCAUUGUUAGAGCUGGACUUGAAGAUGCUCAAUGGGUAACCAGAAGCAAGAGGAUAAAUUUAACAGCAACAGUCAGGAAGCAUGUCGCCAGACAAGAACUUGGCCAAUGGGGGCAGGGCUUCCACACGGAGGAGAGAUUUAGAAUGGAGGGCAGUGCAGUUAUAGCCAAAAGAUGUCUGAUGGACAGUGCAACCCAGGAAAACAGCUCUCUGCUUUCACAUUGCAUCUGUCUUCUUGGGGUACCAUGAACUUUCAACUCUGCAUGUACCAAGAUAAGAGUAACUAAGAAGCCUGGUGUCUUGGUGCCCACCUAUAAUCCCAGCACUCUGGAGGCUGAGGGUCUUGCCUUGAACUCACUAUGUAGCUAGCCCAGGCUAGCCUCCAAGUUGCAGUGAUCUUCCUGCCUCAGCCUCCAAGUGCUGGGACUACAGAUUCGAGCCAUCUCCUCUGGCAGGACCUUUUCUCUGAGGACCAGAGCCCCCUGCUUCUCUCCCUCCCUUAUCACAGGAAUCUCCUGAAGGGCACAGAAGGGUCCUCCUUGCCCGGAAAGCCCCCCCCCCCCGCAAUCUGAAAAGCCUUCGCUUCUUGGCUGGCCUUGAACUAUGUAGCACAGGCUGGGUUUGAACUCAAUGAUCCUCCUCCCUCGGCCUCUGGAGUGCUUCAAUCACAGGUGUGUGUACCACCACGCCCAGCACUUAACUCUAUUUUGGGAAUAAAGUGUUGUCUAAGUCUAGAUUCAAAAAUAAAGCCCCUAAGCUUGUUAAAGUGAA
Non-coding RNA from Heterocephalus glaber (naked mole-rat), 2094 nucleotides. Lineage: Eukaryota; Metazoa; Chordata; Mammalia; Rodentia; Bathyergidae. The record is from RefSeq and is a predicted model, not a curated record.